UGUGGAAUAUUGCACAAUGGGGGAAACCCUGAUGCAGCGACGCCGCGUGAACGAAGAAGGUAUUCGUAUCGUAAAGUUCUGUCCUAUGGGAAGAUAAUGACAGUACCAUAGAAGAAAGCUCCGGCUAAAUACGUGCCAGCAGCCGCGGUAAUACGUAUGGAGCGAGCGUUGUCCGGAAUUAUUGGGCGUAAAGGGUACGCAGGCGGUUUAAUAAGUCGAAUGUUAAAGAUCGGGGCUCAACCCCGUAAAGCAUUGGAAACUGAUAAGCUUGCGUAGUGGAGAGGAAAGUGGAAUUCCUAGUGUAGUGGUGAAAUACGUAGAUAUUAGGAGGAAUACCAGUAGCGAAGGCGACUUUCUGGACACAAACUGACGCUGAGGUACGAAAGCGUGGGGAGCAAACAGG
This 403-nucleotide ribosomal RNA is filed under the name bacterium. RNAcentral describes it as "partial 16S ribosomal RNA". It matches the Rfam family "Bacterial small subunit ribosomal RNA", at positions 355 to 776 of the family's 1533-position model. The record is from RNAcentral.